CCUACGGGUAGCAGCAGUGGGGAAUAUUGGACAAUGGGCGAAAGCCUGAUCCAGCCAUGCCGCGUGUGUGAAGAAGGCCUUCGGGUUGUAAAGCACUUUCAGUGGGGAAGAAAGCCUUGGGGCUAAUACCCUCGAGGAAGGACAUCACCCACAGAAGAAGCACCGGCUAACUCCGUGCCAGCAGCCGCGGUAAUACGGAGGGUGCGAGCGUUAAUCGGAAUUACUGGGCGUAAAGCGCGCGUAGGCGGUCUGAUAAGCCGGUUGUGAAAGCCCCGGGCUCAACCUGGGAACGGCAUCCGGAACUGUCAGGCUAGAGUGCAGGAGAGGAAGGUAGAAUUCCCGGUGUAGCGGUGAAAUGCGUAGAGAUCGGGAGGAAUACCAGUGGCGAAGGCGGCCUUCUGGACUGACACUGACGCUGAGGUGCGAAAGCGUGGGUAGCAAACAGGAUUAGAUACCCCGGUAGUC
RNAcentral lists this ribosomal RNA (465 nucleotides) under Vreelandella stevensii. Its description in RNAcentral is "partial 16S ribosomal RNA". It matches the Rfam family "Bacterial small subunit ribosomal RNA", at positions 338 to 795 of the family's 1533-position model. The record is from RNAcentral. Lineage: Bacteria; Pseudomonadati; Pseudomonadota; Gammaproteobacteria; Oceanospirillales; Halomonadaceae.